Long non-coding RNA from Hypanus sabinus (Atlantic stingray), 3485 nucleotides. RefSeq lists it as uncharacterized. The transcript has 3 exons. Lineage: Eukaryota; Metazoa; Chordata; Chondrichthyes; Myliobatiformes; Dasyatidae. The record is from RefSeq and is a predicted model, not a curated record.
AUCAAAGCCAUAGUCAAAGAGGCCCAACGGACUCAACUGGACCCAGGCAACGGACCCUCCAAUCGCCUCUUCGUGCCUGACUCGGUUCGGUCUCAGGUUCUCCAGUGGGGGGACACUUCUCAUUUCGCCUGCCAUCCCGAAAUCGAUCGACCUCUGUCCCUUCUGAAGAGACAUUUCUGGUGGCCUUCUAUGGACGCUAACACUUGUUCCUUUCUCUCUGUCUGUUCUGUUUGUGCCCGCGGAAAAGCCUCCCAUUGACCACCUGCUAGGUUGCUUCAUCCCCUACCUGUCCCUGGCCGCCCUUGGUCCCACGUUGCUCUGGAUUUCGUUACUGGGCUAUCCCCUUUCACAUGGGAACACUGCCAUACUCACCGUGGUGGACCGUUCCUCCAAAGCCGUGCACUUCGUAGCCCUUCCCAAACUCCCUACAGCCCGUGAGACAGCUCCUCCUUGUUCAUCACGUCUUCCACCUUCAGGGAAUUCCCUCUGACUGGGGUCCCCAAUUCAUCUCUCAAGCCUGGAGAUCCUUUCGUCAAGCCCUUGGAGUGUCAGUAAGUCCAUCUUGCAGUUUCCAUCCGCAGACAAAUGGUCAAACAGAAUGAGCAAACCAGGAUUUGGAAGCAGCAUUGUGCUGCAUAACUGACAACAACCCGUCAUCCUGGAGCGCCCAUCUCACUUGGGUGGAGUACGCCCACAACUCCCUGGUCAGCACCGCCAUCGGAAUGUCUCCCUUCGAAUGCUCCCUCGGUUAUCAACCCCUUCUGUUCCUUGCCCAUGAAGACAAUAUCGCUGUGCCUUCAGUUCAGGCCCAUCUCCGCUGGUGCCGCGGAUCUGGAAGGAUGCAUGUGUGGCCCUCCUCCGCUCAGCUGACUGCAACCGGAGGAUUACCGAUUGCAAUUGAACUCCUGCACCAAAUUAUCACCCUGGGCAGAAGGUUUGGAUUUCGUCAAAAGACAUGUCCCUCAAGAAUGAACCCAAGAGCCUCACCCCUUGCAACCUGGGACCAUUCGAGAUUGAGAGUGUCAUCAGCUCCUCGGUGGUAGACUCAAACUGCCCGGAUCCAUGCACAUUCAUCCCAUAUUCCGCAUCUCCCAACUGGAAGUUGCAUCUUUCGGCUCUUUGUACCCUCCUGCUGAACCCCUCUACCUGCUGGAUCAUUGAUGACUACCCAGCAUACACUGUCUGGCGAAUACUGGAUGUGCGCCGCCGAGGCGGGGCCUCCAGUACCUGCUCAAUUGGGAGGGAUACGGCCCAGAGGAACGCUCCUGGAUUCCCUAAUCCUUCAUCCUGGACCCGUCCCUCCUCCGUAAUUUCCAUCGAGACAAUCCGGACAAGCCUGGUGGUUCACCUGGAAGCUUCCGUUGGGGGGGAGGGGGCGGUAUUGUCAUGGUCCCGGUUGUUAAUUCCCUGUCUUUCUCCUAAUUUCUUUUAAUUGUGCCAUGGUUCUGACCGCUAAUUUUCCAUUUGCUUCUCAUUCUCUCUGAUGACAGCACAUCAAGAUCUGCAACAUAAGAACCCUGGCAUUACAACCACUGGUUGCCAAAUUGUUGGUUUUUCCUGCGUGGUAAUUAAUGCUUUCUGGCCGCUUAGGACUGUGUAUUCUAAGUUUUGCUCUAGUUUCAAGCUUUACCCAAGAAACUCCGUCUCUCUGUGUCAAGGCUUCAGGUCAAGAUCUCCUGUUUGCUGUUCAACGUUCACGUCUGCAUAAGCAUCCUAACUCUGUCUCCAUGCCUGUGUCCUGCACUUGGGUUUGCUUCAUUCUCUCAUUGCAACAGUGAUCUGUAUUUCUAGAUUUCCCACACAAGAGGAAACAUUCUCUCCACAACCACUCUGGCAGAACCCCUUAGAAUCUUAGGUGUUUCAAUUAAAUCCCUUUCCUCUCUGUAAAGCUCUAGUGGAGAGAAGUAUUACCUGUCUUGGCUUUUCUCAUUAGACUAUUUACUCAAUCCAGUUAACUUUCUCAGAACUACAUGAGUGUUGUUUAGAAAAGGAAAGGAGAUACAAAUAUGAUCAGAGAUCGGAUGUCACUGCCAUAUAGCAUACCUUAAACAUAAAACCCUACAUGUGCGAGUACUGAGCAAUAACAUAUUCCCUAGCUCAAAAUGGCCACUCGUGCCAAGUGACAUGUCCAACACUGUAGGAUUCCUGGAAACUGCACAAAAUUUAAUUCUGGUGGAGUUACAACUUCGCAUUUUCCACUGACACCUGCCAAAUUUACACCACUACCCCAGCCAGCCGGCAGCUGUUAGCUCUCCUGGAAAGACUGUAUGUGAAUCUUCUUGUUGCAAAAACAGUAAGGGAGGUAGCAUGUGAGAUAUCUUGUUGCAAGAGCAUCCCAAGCUUCAAUAACGAUGUUUAUAUUGCAGAAGUGUUUCCACUGGCUGCAGAUGCUGCCUGACCUGCUGAGUUCCUCCAGCAUGUGUUGCUCUGUUUCUGGGCAAGUCAACAUAUGGAGUGUGUUUAAAGACCAACUAGAGUACAGGACAGGUAUGUUCCCAACAGAAGAGGAACAGAGAUGGCAAGAUAUUAACAAAAGAUCACUAUAAUGUCCGGAGGAACAAUUUGAACUAUUUGCACCAUUUGUUCUCAGUUCCAAACAAAUGCCUACCAAAAUUACAGGAGGACAUCAAGAAUAUCUCCACAGAAAUCACAUCCCAUUAUCUAUUGCUUUGUACCUCUAGCUACCUACGCCUCUAAGACUUCCUAAGAUCCCUGCCUGCUGUGCACCCCUGCCAUUUAACCACACCCACCUUCUAUGUGCCGCAAUUGGUGAUCAUGUUUUCAGCUGUCAAGGCUUAAACAGUGGAAAUAUUAAUGAUUACUAACCAAAUAAAAAUGUCAGUAUAAAAAUACAGCUGUCUCCUUCUCUGCAAAAUAAGGGUUUGAGUAAUAUUGCAGUUACUUGCAAUACUGCUAUUAAAAACUUCACACUUCAAUUUGUCAGUAAAUUCUAUUAGUGCCUUCCAGCAUGAUUGAGCUGCAAUAUAAUCUGAAAAGAUUUUAAUGUAAAGCAGAACCAUUCUUUCUCCUGUAUUUCUCUUCAGAAGGCACUAAUUAAAGCUGCAACUCAUUGCAUUGGUUCUUUUAGUCCUUAUUAAUGAGUAUUGACAGCAAGUGUCAACGGGUGAUUCGGCAUUGGCAGUGGAGCGGGUUCCAGACCCUACCUGUGGCAGACAGGGAUACAUGGUCUGAACGGCAGAGCUCUCAAGUAACAUUCAUCUUAGAGUAGAACGAAAGGUCUCAGGAGAAUUAAACAGGGAAUAGAAAUCUUUCUGUGGCUGCUGUUGAAUCCUGACUAGAAGAAGAUGACUCUUUGUCAUAACAGCCCUAAGGAUUAAGAAUGUUUUUGUUUCUCACUCAGAAGUUGAGUUAUGCCUGUGCCAGUGAUGUUUAAAAAUCUAGGAUCCGAGUAGCUACAAUCAUUGGAAAACAUUGGCUCCAGAUUCAGGAUGGGAGUAGGGAUUUCACAGAAACUGAGCUGCAAA